RNAcentral lists this long non-coding RNA (1181 nucleotides) under Gallus gallus (chicken). RNAcentral's name for it is "lncRNA (ENSGALG00010016001.1)". Lineage: Eukaryota; Metazoa; Chordata; Aves; Galliformes; Phasianidae. The record is from RNAcentral.
GUGAGACCGACACACCAAGCAGCCCCUGCUCACCAAAUUCACUGCUCGGGCAGCGAUCCUUGGACCAGCAAGAAGCCGGCUUGCUGUACAUCCAUCAUGGAUUUGAUCCACUCGCAGGCAGUAAAUCUGGUGAACCAGGUUACAUGGGACGCCUCUGCUACGUGCACAGACCGAUGAACCACAGACAAGCAGUAGGUGGUUCUGGCCCUAACCACUGCUUUGGCCAAGCUGCCGUGCAUCUAAAUAUCGUGGAUGAGCACGGCAGAGUUGAAAAGAGCUGAGAGAUGCUGAAGGUUUGCUGUUCUUCUGCCUCAGCCUGCAACACAAAAGGAUCUCUUCCCAUCUCCACCACAACACUUACGCUCCUCCUCUAGGAAAUGCAGGGCAUGCAUGCUUACUUUUUUUUCCCUUUCCACCUUGCAUCUACUUUAAAUAAAAAACAGUAAAAAGGGGGAAAAAAAUCCUUAUUCAGUUAUUAGCCCAUCCUAAGGGCAUAGGGCAGCUUGGUUAGCUCUGCAACACAUCACAUAGCCUAUAGUAAUGCCCCAUACUUGCUGUCAGCGUGGUCCCUGUUUACAUUCAGUCUGAUUUUCAGCUUCACACUGAAGCCCUGGGAGUUCUCAAGUGAUGAGAUUUCUCUGCCCCCCAGAUUGAGCCUGUAGUUUGGACUCUUCCCGACAAUCACAUGCGAAGUUGUGAUUUCAUUUCAUACAGUAGAUAAUGGCAGUACUGCGUGAAGCAACCUUACCUCACACAGCAAAAAGAAGUCAGGCAAUUGAUCUACAGGAUCUGUGGCAAGGUCUCCAUUGUCAGCCUUUAUUCACAGUCAUCUGUGAUGAUAGUACCAAGAUUUUGAGACCCAUGGAUGUUAACCUUGACUGAAGUCCCCACAUUUGGAUGUAUUUUGAGGUCUUCCAUGAAGGACAAAUGCACAUUCUCACCAUUUUUGUACUUUAUUCCUGUUCUCUUCAAACACAGUGGCUUUUUUCCCUGUUUGUAAUCAGCAACUUCUGGUCAAACAGCACAAAGAGGCUUAGACAGCACUAAGAACUUCCUUCACAUAUUUGCUCUCACUACUGCUAGCUGUUGUGUGACCCGUGACUCAAAACUAUGGUGGCAACAGUUGGAUAAUUCACUGAAUAUUACGGGUUUUUUUCAGCCUAUGUGGCCACGUUCCUUUU